Molecule: unclassified non-coding RNA, 337 nt
Filed under: soil metagenome
Description: partial contains 5.8S ribosomal RNA, internal transcribed spacer 2, and large subunit ribosomal RNA
Rfam family: 5.8S ribosomal RNA (bases 1-120)
Source: RNAcentral
GAUGAAGAACGUAGCGAAAUGCGAUAAGUAGUGUGAAUUGCAGAAUUCAGUGAAUCAUCGAAUCUUUGAACGCACAUUGCGCCCCUUGGUAUUCCAUGGGGCAUGCCUGUUCGAGCGUCAUUUGUACCUUCAAGCCUUGCUUGGUGUUGGGUGUUUGUCUCGCCUCUGCGCGCAGACUCGCCUCAAAACAAUUGGCAGCCGGCGUAUUGAUUUCGGAGCGCAGUACAUCUCGCGCUUUGCACUCAGAACGACGACGUUCAAAAGUACAUUUUUACACUCUUGACCUCGGAUCAGGUAGGGAUACCCGCUGAACUUAAGCAUAUCAAUAAGCGGAGGA